This 236-nucleotide long non-coding RNA is filed under the name Glycine max (soybean). Its description in RNAcentral is "long non-coding RNA (GMAX_LNC001699)". Lineage: Eukaryota; Viridiplantae; Streptophyta; Magnoliopsida; Fabales; Fabaceae. The record is from RNAcentral.
CUUGCUGUUCCUUUAGAAUUUGGCUAGAGGUGAGUAAUCACUUGCAAGUUACAAUGGCUGUGACACUCAAGUUAACAAGAGUGUCAGUAAAGAGGAGAAGAAAUAGGAUAAUGACAUAUAUUUCUAGUGAUAUUAUCCACCUCUAUAUACUUUGUUCAUUAUCUUGCAUUUUGAUGUCAUUCUUGCCCACAAAGGAAUGGUAUGCAAUUCCAACUCAUUCCUUGACUUCUAACUUC